CGCAGCCGCGGUAAUUCCAGCUCCAAUAGCGUAUAUUAAAGUUGUUGCAGUUAAAAAGCUCGUAGUUGAAUUUCGGGAUCAAUGGGUUGGUCAUGCCCUCGGUAUGUACUGAUUUCAUUGGUUCUCACCUUCUAAGGAACCAUGAUGUCAUUUAUUUGAUGUUGUGGGAAAUUAGGACUGUUACCUUGAAAAAAAUUAGAGUGUUUAAAGCAGGCUAACGCUUGAAUACAUUAGCAUGGAAUAAUGAAAUAGGACAUCCGAUUCUAUUUUGUUGGUUUCUAGGAUCGAUGUAAUGAUUAAUAGGGAUAGUUGGGGGCAUUAGUAUUCAAUUGUCAGAGGUGAAAUUCUUGGAUUUAUUGAAGACUAACUACUGCGAAAGCAUUUGCCAAGGAUGUUUUCAUUAAUCAAGAACGAAAGUUAGGGGAUCGAAGACGAUCAGAUACCGUCGUAGUCUUAACCAUAAACUAUGCCGACUAGGGAUCGGAUGAUGCUUAUUUUUUAAUGACUCAUUC
This 512-nucleotide small RNA is filed under the name uncultured Glomus. RNAcentral's name for it is "SSU rRNA". It matches the Rfam family "Eukaryotic small subunit ribosomal RNA", at positions 569 to 1081 of the family's 1831-position model. The record is from RNAcentral. Lineage: Eukaryota; Fungi; Glomeromycota; Glomeromycetes; Glomerales; Glomeraceae.